Molecule: ribosomal RNA, 1183 nt
Filed under: uncultured soil eukaryote
Lineage: Eukaryota
Description: partial small subunit ribosomal RNA
Rfam family: Eukaryotic small subunit ribosomal RNA
Source: RNAcentral
GAUCCUGCCAGUAGUCAUAUGCUCGUCUCAAAGAUUAAGCCAUGCACGUCUAAGUAUGAGCCUUUACACGGCGAGACUGCGGACGGCUCAUUAAAUCGGUCAUGAUCCGCUCGGCCGCGACCUCGCUCGGACAACCGUAGCAAUCCUAGAGCUAAUACGUGCGAAAGGGCCCCCCCGCGAGGGGGGGCCCGCGUUCGUCAGGCGAAGGACCGACGCGGGCCGCGAGGCCCGACGGACGGCGAAUCGGGACGACCCCGCGGAUCGCACGGCCCCGCGCCGGCGACGCCCCGUCCGAAUUUCCGCCCUAUCAACUCCCGACGGCGGGAUAGAGGCCCGCCGUGGUGCUCACGGGUGACGGAGAAUCGGGGUUCGAUUCCGGAGAGGGAGCCUGAGAGACGGCUACCACUUCUACGGAAGGCAGCAGGCGCGUAAAUUACCCAAUCCCGACCCGGGGAGGUAGUGACGAUAGAUAACGGCGCGAGGCCCGCGGGUCUCGCGGCCGGAACGAGGACGACCCAAACCCGCUACCGAGCAACGAUCGGAGGGCAAGUCUGGUGCCAGCAGCCGCGGUAAUUCCAGCUCCGAUAGCGUAUAUUAAAGUUGCUGCGGUUGAAGAGCUCGUAGUCGGACCUCUGCGGGCCGCGCGGGUCCCGGCCCGCCCCGAGCGGGCGCGCGCCGGACCCCGCGGCCCCUUUCCCGUCCGGGACGCUCCCCCCCCCUUUUCCCGCGAGGGAGGAGGGGGCCCGGGGGGCCCCGGACCAUUUACCUCGAAGAAACCGGGGUGUCCAAGGCGGGCCCGUCCGAGACGGCGCCUCGAACGUCGCAGCACGGGAUAACCAUCGCGGGCCGGGCCCCCGAUAUGACGUCGGUCCCGGGGGCAGAUCGACGAGGGCGAAGGCUUUUGGCGAGGACGCCCCCCUCGAUCAAGAACGAAAGUUAGGGGAUCGAAGACGAUCAGAUACCGUCGUAGUCUUAACCGUAAACGAUGCCGACCGGGGAUCGGGGGGCGUCGCGCGCGUCGACCCCCCCGGCGCCCCGCGGGGAACCGGAGUCUUCGGGUUCCGGGGGGAGUAUGGUCGCAAGGCCGAAACUUAAAGGAAUUGACGGAAGGGCACCACCAGGAGUGGAGCCUGCGGCUUAAUUUGACUCAACACGGGGAAACUUACCAGGUCCAGACAUAGUA